UAAAAAUAAAUAAAUGUUUUAAUUGGUAUUUUGUACAAUGUAUUUGCAAAAAAUAAAUAAAUUUAAAGCUUAAUUUGUGUUUAUUGUGCUGUUAUAUUGUUAUUCUUGUUUCUCUUUACAUUGUUUCCUCAUUAGUUGCUUGAAGUUGUUCACUAUUUCCAUCUUCUUUGUACCUGGAUUUGCUGCACCACUUUGACUCCACGAGGUGGUGGUGAGCUUUGCAUACACUCUACCUUCCUCACACCUCACUUGGAUUUCUCUGUUUUCAGCUGAAAAAAGUGAGCUUGACAAUGGAGGAAGAAAAGGAGUUGAAGAAAGAGAAGAAAAAUAUACCUGCAUUGCCAUGGAUGAGAAAUCCAGUUGAUAUUACUACUUUUGAUCAAUGCUCUCUUGAUCUCUUGCCUUUUAUUGACCCAGGUUAGUGGUGGCUUUGAAGAAUAUGAGCAUCACUUCACUCUUUCCCGUGCAACUUGCUGUCUGGCAAGAGACAAUUGGACCUGGUUCUUUUGAAUGAGACCUUUGCAUAAAUUCAUCUACAGGGAGCGGGAAAACUCUUGCUUAUGCAUUACCAAUUGUUCAGAUGCUGUCUACACGUGCUGUAAAAUGUCUUUGCGCACUAGUGGUCUUGCCUACUAGAGACCUGGCUUUGCAGGUGAGUCAAUGGUCAUCCUAGGUUUUCAUCAUCAUAAAACUAUGACUUCAUGCUGCCUCUUACAACAAAGGGGGAAAGAAGAAGAAGAAGAAGAAGAAAACUAUAAGUUCACACUUUGGCUGAGAGUCCUUUUGCUUGCAAUCCGAUAAUUUGCUGUAAUUUGGUCUUAGUGCCUCAGAGGACUUUUUGUUAAGAAGAUCUCCAACUUCUUAGUCAAAGACGUCUUCUCUGCUCUUGCACCUGCAGUAGGUUUGUCUGUUGGCUUGGCAGUAGGUCAGUCAUCAAUUUCGGAUGAAAUCUCUGAGCUCAUCAAGAAACCCAAUGUUGAAUACGGCAUAUGUUAUGAUCCUGAAGAAUUCUCAUACGAGUUACAAAGCGCAGUAGACAUAUUAGUGGCAACUCCUGGAAGACUGAUGGACCACAUCAAUAACACUGAUGGUUUUACCCUUGAGCAUCUAUGUUAUCUUGUAAGCUGCAUAUUUAGUUGCUUAGAAUUUCUUAGUAUUUAUAUUUACACCUAGUCCCCUGUUCUUCUCUUCUUUUUGCUAUUAAUAUUGUGGCAUAAAGCAUUUCUAUCUGAGAAUAUCUUGCUCAUCUUAAGAAACUAAAUAUCCAGCUAGCUUUUUGCCUUUCCUUCGGGUCUUGUAUCUCAUUAGUCUAUUAGGUCACUAGGAAACAAAGCUCGGGAAGUACCUUUUGAUAAUUUGAAAGAAAUUUGUUAGAACUUAGGUCUUAGAAGUAGGGUGACACCGAGGUAAAUACAAACGGACUACAAUAGUGCAUGUUUUGACAACGAAUGUGCUGGCUAUUUGUCUUUAUGUUAAUAACCUUCUAAUGUCUUUCUACCAUCUUCAAUUCUAUCAAUGCAUUGAUAGAUCAUUAAUAACUGUAAAUGAAAGAAAUAUGAGCUCUUU
Capsicum annuum is the source of this 1566-nucleotide long non-coding RNA. RefSeq lists it as uncharacterized. The transcript has 5 exons. The record is from RefSeq and is a predicted model, not a curated record. NCBI's taxonomy places the organism in Eukaryota, Viridiplantae, Streptophyta, Magnoliopsida, Solanales, Solanaceae.